Long non-coding RNA from Wasmannia auropunctata (little fire ant), 296 nucleotides. RefSeq lists it as uncharacterized. NCBI's taxonomy places the organism in Eukaryota, Metazoa, Arthropoda, Insecta, Hymenoptera, Formicidae. The transcript has 3 exons. The record is from RefSeq and is a predicted model, not a curated record.
UUGACAAGUAGAACAGUGACGCACCGUGCGCAAUUUAGUAAUCAUUUGUCGGCAAGAAUAGCAAUGUUCGAAUCCUUCAGAUUCUAAAUAACCGAAUCUGCGGAGCCAAAGGUCAAGGGGCAUCGGCGGGGGUCGUUGAACAGAGUCGUUUUCUGGAGGCUCAACAGGAGGAGGAACGCUGUGGGGGUCCAUGCUGGAGAGAGAGGAUGUCGCGGCUUGAAUAGGGCUUCGUUCCGAUCCCGUAUUGGCAAUUGGAGACGUUGUCAUGGAAGACCUGCGGACAGUCGUGGCAUUUG